This 440-nucleotide ribosomal RNA is filed under the name uncultured bacterium. RNAcentral describes it as "partial 16S ribosomal RNA". It matches the Rfam family "Bacterial small subunit ribosomal RNA", at positions 338 to 795 of the family's 1533-position model. The record is from RNAcentral.
CCUACGGGAGGCAGCAGUGGGGAAUAUUGCACAAUGGGGGAAACCCUGAUGCAGCGACGCCGCGUGAGUGAAGAAGUAAUUCGUUAUGUAAAGCUCUAUCAGCAGGGAAGAAAAUGACGGUACCUGAGUCAGACGCCCCGGCUAACUACGUGCCAGCAGCCGCGGUAAUACGUAGGGGGCAAGCGUUAUCCGGAGUUACUGGGUGUAAAGGGAGCGUAGACGGCAGUGCAAGUCUGGAGUGAAAGGCGGGGGCUCAACCCCCGGACUGCUCUGGAAACUGUACGGCUGGAGUGCAGGAGAGGUAAGUGGAAUUCCUAGUGUAGCGGUGAAAUGCGUAGAUAUUAGGAGGAACACCAGUGGCGAAGGCGGCUUACUGGACUGUAACUGACGUUGAGGCUCGAAAGCGUGGGGAGCAAACAGGAUUAGAUACCCCAGUAGUC